UACGUAGGGAGCAAGCGUUGUCCGGAUUCACUGGGUGUAAAGGGCGCGCAGGCGGAUCUGUAAGUCAGAGGUGAAAUCUCACGGCUUAACCGUGAAACUGCCUUUGAUACUGCAGAUCUUGAGUUUGGGAGAGGUUGAUGGAAUUCCAGGUGUAGCGGUGAAAUGCGUAGAUAUCUGGAAGAACACCAGUGGCGAAGGCGGUCAACUGGCCCAUAACUGACGCUCAGGCACGAAAGCGUGGGGAGCAAAAGGG
This 253-nucleotide ribosomal RNA is filed under the name uncultured bacterium. RNAcentral describes it as "partial 16S ribosomal RNA". It matches the Rfam family "Bacterial small subunit ribosomal RNA", at positions 524 to 776 of the family's 1533-position model. The record is from RNAcentral.